Molecule: ribosomal RNA, 207 nt
Filed under: uncultured bacterium
Lineage: Bacteria
Description: partial 16S ribosomal RNA
Rfam family: Bacterial small subunit ribosomal RNA
Source: RNAcentral
CACGUAGGCGGACUCUUAAGUCGGUGGUGAAAUCCUGGAGCUCAACUCCAGAACUGCCUUCGAUACUGGGAGUCUUCGAGUCCGGGAGAGGUGAGUGGAACUGCGAGUGUAGAGGUGAAAUUCGUAGAUAUUCGCAAGAACACCAGUGGCGAAGGCGGCUCACUGGCCCGGUACUGACGCUGAGGUGCGAAAGCGUGGGAGCAAACA